RNAcentral lists this unclassified non-coding RNA (327 nucleotides) under Hevea brasiliensis (rubber tree). Lineage: Eukaryota; Viridiplantae; Streptophyta; Magnoliopsida; Malpighiales; Euphorbiaceae. The record is from RNAcentral.
GGAAGCUGUGAAUGUAUCACUAGGGAACUUAUUGACAUAUCCAUUUGUGAGAGAAGCUGUGGUGAAGAAAAACAUUGCACUAAAAGGUGGACACUAUGAUUUUGAGAAUGGAUCCUUUGAGCUUUGGAAUAUUGACUUCAAACUUACUCCUUCUGUUGCACUCUAAAUAUGUUGCAAAAUUUUCAUAUAACCAAUUGUAAUUGUGUUUCAAGUUUUUCUUCUUCUUUACUUGAUUUGCAUUUUGAUGUAAAUGUAUUACUGAACAACAGUGUGGUGUGUCAUCACAUAAAUAAUGUUAAAAUGGCUGUUUUCAGCUUUUAGCUUAAU